This 29-nucleotide non-coding RNA is filed under the name Mus musculus (house mouse). Lineage: Eukaryota; Metazoa; Chordata; Mammalia; Rodentia; Muridae. The record is from RNAcentral.
UCGCUUUCUGAAUUUUAAGGUCUAUGAGC